AGUGAACGCUGGCGGUAGGCCUAACACAUGCAAGUCGAACGGCAGCACAGUAAGAGCUUGCUCUUACGGGUGGCGAGUGGCGGACGGGUGAGGAAUACAUCGGAAUCUACUUUUUCGUGGGUGAUAACGUAGGGAAACUUACGCUAAUACCGCAUACGACCUACGGGUUAAAUCAUGGGAUCUUCGGACCUUGCCCGCUUUAUUUAGCCGAUUUCUGAUUAUCUAGUUGGCUGGGUAAAGGCCCACCAAGGCGACGAUCCGUAGCUGGUCUGAUAGGAUGAUCAGCCACACUGGAAGUGAGACACGGUCCAGACUACUAAGGGAGGAAGCAGUGGGGAAUAUUGGACAAUGGGCGAAAGCCUGAUCCAGCAAUACCGAGUGGGUGAAGAAGGCCUUCGGGUUGUAAAGCCCUUUUGUUGGGAAAGAAAAGCAGCAGGCUAAUACCCCGCUGUUCUGACGGUACCCAAAGAAUAAGCACCGGCUAACUUCGUG
RNAcentral lists this ribosomal RNA (492 nucleotides) under uncultured bacterium. RNAcentral's name for it is "partial 16S ribosomal RNA". It matches the Rfam family "Bacterial small subunit ribosomal RNA", at positions 29 to 507 of the family's 1533-position model. The record is from RNAcentral.